This 614-nucleotide ribosomal RNA is filed under the name Enterococcus faecalis. RNAcentral's name for it is "bacterial SSU rRNA". It matches the Rfam family "Bacterial small subunit ribosomal RNA", at positions 50 to 636 of the family's 1533-position model. Lineage: Bacteria; Bacillati; Bacillota; Bacilli; Lactobacillales; Enterococcaceae. The record is from RNAcentral.
CUAUCAUGCAGUCGAACGCUUCUUUCCUCCCGAGUGCUUGCACUCAAUUGGAAAGAGGAGUGGCGGACGGGUGAGUAACACGUGGGUAACCUACCCAUCAGAGGGGGAUAACACUUGGAAACAGGUGCUAAUACCGCAUAACAGUUUAUGCCGCAUGGCAUAAGAGUGAAAGGCGCUUUCGGGUGUCGCUGAUGGAUGGACCCGCGGUGCAUUAGCUAGUUGGUGAGGUAACGGCUCACCAAGGCCACGAUGCAUAGCCGACCUGAGAGGGUGAUCGGCCACACUGGGACUGAGACACGGCCCAGACUCCUACGGGAGGCAGCAGUAGGGAAUCUUCGGCAAUGGACGAAAGUCUGACCGAGCAACGCCGCGUGAGUGAAGAAGGUUUUCGGAUCGUAAAACUCUGUUGUUAGAGAAGAACAAGGACGUUAGUAACUGAACGUCCCCUGACGGUAUCUAACCAGAAAGCCACGGCUAACUACGUGCCAGCAGCCGCGGUAAUACGUAGGUGGCAAGCGUUGUCCGGAUUUAUUGGGCGUAAAGCGAGCGCAGGCGGUUUCUUAAGUCUGAUGUGAAAGCCCCCGGCUCAACCGGGGAGGGUCAUUGGAAACUGG